CGCAAACGACAAUAAUUAUACAUUAAUAAAAAUUAAGAAUUAUGGUGGAUUGAUAAUACCAUCCCAAAGCGUGUCAAAUUUAUGCAAAAUAACAGAGAGCUCAUUCAGGGCUUUUGAAAAAAUACCUGCACAUAAGAAUGCAUCAUUUUGGUAAUAAAGUAAAUCAAAAAUUACAAUUAAAUAUCAGGCAAAAACUAAACAAGGCUGUACUUUUUCAAGGGCAAUAAACCAAGUGAAGAACAAAUUAUCUGAAAAUUUCUAAUGACUUUAUUGGUUAUAAUAAAUUAAUUUUAUUAGACAUAAAUAUAACAUAUAUAUAUUAUUUGUAUUUAUUAUUGAUUUAUAAGAUUAAUAUUUUCUUUUCGCG
Gordionus sp. m RMFG-2023 is the source of this 367-nucleotide long non-coding RNA. RefSeq lists it as uncharacterized. The record is from RefSeq and is a predicted model, not a curated record. The transcript has 3 exons. NCBI's taxonomy places the organism in Eukaryota, Metazoa, Nematomorpha, Gordioida, Chordodea, Parachordodidae.